GACGAACGCUGGCGGCGUGCCUAAUACAUGCAAGUCGAGCGAAGGUUUUCUGAGCUUUCCACCGGGAAGAUUUCGGCGGAAGGGUGAGUGACACGUGUAUAGCACACCCAUAAUAGAGGGGGAACAUCGUGAGACACGAUAGAAUAUCGCAGAAAAUAGUAAUAAGCACGUGGCAGAAGUUUAAAAGUUUGUUUUUGUAACACAUAGAGAUAGCUGCGCUGCAUUAGCUAGUUGGUAAGGUAACGGCCUACCAAGGCAACGAUGCAUAGCCGACCUGAGAGGGUGAUCGGCCACACUGGAACUGAGACACGGCCCAGACUCCUACGGGAGGCAGCAGUAGGGAAUCUUCCGCAAUGGGCGAAAGCCUGACGGAGCAACGCCGCGUGAGUGAAGAAGGUCUUCGGUUCGUAAAGCUCUGUUGUUAGGGAAGAACGUUUGUGUAAUAAAUUGACACCGUAUUGACGGUACCUAACCAGAAAGCCACGGCUAACUACGUG
This 497-nucleotide ribosomal RNA is filed under the name uncultured bacterium. RNAcentral's name for it is "partial 16S ribosomal RNA". It matches the Rfam family "Bacterial small subunit ribosomal RNA", at positions 28 to 507 of the family's 1533-position model. The record is from RNAcentral.